Molecule: ribosomal RNA, 301 nt
Filed under: uncultured bacterium
Lineage: Bacteria
Description: partial 16S ribosomal RNA
Rfam family: Bacterial small subunit ribosomal RNA
Source: RNAcentral
CAGUAGCCGCGGUAAUACGAAGGGUGCAAGCGUUAAUCGGAAUUACUGGGCGUAAAGCGUGCGUAGGCGGUUUGUUAAGUCUGUUGUGAAAUCCCCGGGCUCAACCUGGGAAUGGCAGUGGAUACUGGCUCGCUAGAGUGUGUCAGAGGAUGGUGGAAUUCCCGGUGUAGCGGUGAAAUGCGUAGAGAUCGGGAGGAACAUCAGUGGCGAAGGCGGCCAUCUGGGACAACACUGACGCUGAGGCACAAAAGCGUGGGGAGCAAACAGGAUUAGAUACCCCCGUAGUCCCUGUCUCUUAUAC